CCUACGGGAGGCAGCAGUAGGGAAUCUUUCACAAUGGGCGAAAGCCUGACGGAGCAACGCCGCGUGCAGGAUGAAGGCCUUCGGGUUGUAAACUGCUUUUAUAAGCGAGAAAUAUGAUGGUAACUUAUGAAUAAGGAUCGGCUAACUACGUGCCAGCAGCCGCGGUCAUACGUAGGAUCCGAGCAUUAUCCGGAGUGACUGGGUGUAAAGAGUUGCGUAGGUGGCAUAAUAAGUAGCUAGUGAAAUCUGGUGGCUCAACCAUUCAGACUAUUAGCUAAACUGUUAAGCUCGAGACCGUUAGGGGUAACUGGAAUUUCUAGUGUAGGAGUGAAAUCCGUAGAUAUUAGAAGGAACACCAAUAGCGUAGGCAGGUUGCUGGGACGGUUCUGACACUAAGGCACGAAAGCGUAGGGAGCAAACGGGAUUAGAUACCCCAGUAGUC
Molecule: ribosomal RNA, 442 nt
Filed under: uncultured bacterium
Lineage: Bacteria
Description: partial 16S ribosomal RNA
Rfam family: Bacterial small subunit ribosomal RNA
Source: RNAcentral